GAUGAACGCUGGCGGCGUGCCUAAUACAUGCAAGUCGAGCGAACAGACGAGGAGCUUGCUCCUUUGACGUUAGCGGCGGACGGGUGAGUAACACGUGGGUAACCUACCUAUAAGACUGGGAUAACUUCGGGAAACCGGAGCUAAUACCGGAUAAUAUUUCGAACCGCAUGGUUCGAUAGUGAAAGAUGGCUUUGCUAUCACUUAUAGAUGGACCUGCGCCGUAUUAGCUAGUUGGUAAGGUAACGGCUUACCAAGGCAACGAUACGUAGCCGACCUGAGAGGGUGAUCGGCCACACUGGAACUGAGACACGGUCCAGACUCCUACGGGAGGCAGCAGUAGGGAAUCUUCCGCAAUGGGCGAAAGCCUGACGGAGCAACGCCGCGUGAGUGAUGAAGGUCUUCGGAUCGUAAAACUCUGUUAUUAGGGAAGAACAAACGUGUAAGUAACGGUGCACGUCUUGACGGGACCUAAUCAGAAAACCACGGCUAACUACGU
This 496-nucleotide ribosomal RNA is filed under the name uncultured bacterium. Its description in RNAcentral is "partial 16S ribosomal RNA". It matches the Rfam family "Bacterial small subunit ribosomal RNA", at positions 28 to 506 of the family's 1533-position model. The record is from RNAcentral.